RNAcentral lists this long non-coding RNA (628 nucleotides) under Salmo salar (Atlantic salmon). RNAcentral describes it as "lncRNA (ENSSSAG00000086718.1)". The record is from RNAcentral. Lineage: Eukaryota; Metazoa; Chordata; Actinopteri; Salmoniformes; Salmonidae.
GGUGGGUUAAUGUAGUGUUACUGUAUCUGUGGUGGGUUAAUAUAGUGUGGCUGUAUCUGUGGUGGGUUAAUGUAGUGUGACUGUAUCUGUGGUGGGUUAAUGUAGUGUGGCUGUAUCUGUGGUGGGUUAAUGUAGUGUUGCUGUAUCUGUGGUGGGUUAAUGUAGUGUUGCUGUAUCUGUGGUGGGUUAAUGUAGUGUUGCUGUAUCUGUGGUGGGUUAAUGUAGUGUGGUUGUAUCUGUGGUAGGUUAAUGUAGUGUUGCUGUAUCUGUGGUGGGUUAAUGUAGUGUGGCUGUAUCUGUGGUUGGUUAAUGUAGUGUUGCUGUAUCUGUGGUGGGUUAAUGUAUUGUUGCUGUAUCUGUGGUGGGUUAAUGUAGUGUUGCUGUAUCUGUGGUGGGUUAAUGUAUUGUUGCUGUAUCUGUGGUCGGAUAAUGUAGUGUGGCUGUAUCUGUGGUGGGUUAAUGUAGUGUGGCUGUAUCUGUGGUGGAUUAAUGUAGUGUGGCUGUAUCUGUGGUGGGUUAAUGUAGUGUCGCUGUAUCUGUGGUGGGUUAAUGUAGUGUGGCUGUAUCUGUGGUGGGUUAAUGUAGUGUUGCUGUAUCUGUUGUUGGUUAAUGUAGUGUUGCUGUAUCU